This 935-nucleotide ribosomal RNA is filed under the name uncultured archaeon. RNAcentral's name for it is "bacterial SSU rRNA". It matches the Rfam family "Archaeal small subunit ribosomal RNA", at positions 1 to 922 of the family's 1478-position model. The record is from RNAcentral.
UUCCGGUUGAUCCCGCCGGACCCGACUGCUAUUUGGGUUAGAAUAAGCCAUGCGAGUCGAAUGGAAUACCUAAAUUUUCCAUGGCGAACUGCUCAGUAACACAUGAUCAACUUACCCUAUAGAGAAAAAUAACCUCGGGAAACUGAGGAUAAUGUUUCAUAGUUGAAAAGGCUUGGAAAAGUUUUUCAAUUAAAGGGAUGAAUAAAAUGGUAUUUAUCUGCUAUAGGAUAGGAUCGUGGUCGAUUAUGGUUGUUGGUGAGGUAACGGCUCACCAAGCCGAUAAUCGAUAGGGGCCGUGAGAGCUGGAGCCCCGAGAUGGGUACUUAGACAGCGACCCAGGCCUUACGAGGCGCAGCAGACGCGAAACCUCCGCAAUACACGAAAGUGUGACGGGGUUACCCAAAGUGUUCAUAUUUGGACUGCGGUAGGUGAGUAAUGUCCCCUACUAGAAAGGAGAGGGCAAGGCUGGUGCCAGCCGCCGCGGUAAAACCAGCUCUUCAAGUGGUCGGGAUAAUUAUUGGGCUUAAAGUGUCCGUAGCCGGUUUAGUUAGUUCCUGGUAAAAUCGGGUAGCUUAACUAUCUGUAUGCUAGGAAUACUGUUAUACUAGAGGGCGGGAGAGGUCUGAGGUACUACAGGGGUAGGGGUGAAAUCUUAUAAUCCUUGUAGGACCACCAGUGGCGAAGGCGUCAGACUGGAACGCGCCUGACGGUGAGGGACGAAAGCCAGGGGAGCGAACCGGAUUAGAUACCCGGGUAGUCCUGGCCGUAAACGAUGCAUACUAGGUGAUGGUACGGCUAUGAGCCGUAUCAGUGCCGUAGGGAAACCGUUAAGUGUGCCGCCUGGGAAGUACGGUCGCAAGGCUAAAACUUAAAGGAAUUGGCGGGGGAGCACCACAAGGGGUGAAGCCUGCGGUUCAAUUGGAGUCAACGCCGGG